GACGGUCUUCGGUAGUGGCCUUUCGGAUACGAGAUCCGGUGGGCUUCGAUCGAUGGCCGCC
Rhodococcus sp. B7740 is the source of this 61-nucleotide non-coding RNA. The record is from Rfam. NCBI's taxonomy places the organism in Bacteria, Bacillati, Actinomycetota, Actinomycetes, Mycobacteriales, Nocardiaceae.